This is a long non-coding RNA of Populus trichocarpa (black cottonwood), 684 nucleotides long. RefSeq lists it as uncharacterized. The record is from RefSeq and is a predicted model, not a curated record. NCBI's taxonomy places the organism in Eukaryota, Viridiplantae, Streptophyta, Magnoliopsida, Malpighiales, Salicaceae. The transcript is spliced from 2 exons.
UGAAUUCAUUUGUGUUCUUUAUAGAUGUGCUCGGAGAUUUUUAGAAAGCAGAGGUUGAUUCCAUUAUUGUGGGGUGUUCCAUGUUGGUUAGGUUAUAGAUGCUCUCGACGAAGGUUUAAAGAGCGAAUAGCUUGUCCAUCAGGUGUGAACAAGUGUAUUUUGUCAAGCCGGGGAAUUAUAGCAUAGCUGAUAACUGCCAUGAUUUGCUAUGGGACCAAGAAAUGAGCAGUACUGUCGCCAAUACUCUAAACCCAGUUUGUGGAUUAGGAUUCAGGUAAAGCUAAGAACAGAUGUUCUAAAGCGGAAGAGUCUGCUUUUAUUUCCAUUCGAGGAGAUAUGAAGGGCCAGCAAAAGUCGUCAAACCAUUUGCUUACAUUUGCUUAUGUUUCUCUUCAUGACGAGUUCCUCGGAAGAGAAGAUUUUCCUCCGGUGGCCAGAUUUUUUUUUUCUCCGCCUUAAAUUUUCUUUGAAUUGAUGCACAGUCUUAUUCAGUUAUUUGGGUAGCUUAGCAAACUCAGAGGCCCAAAAGAAAAGGGUCAGAAUCCUAAUUCUGUAUGGAAAGGGCACCCUCGCAAUAGGGUUUAGACUCAAAGGAUAAUUGGCUAUUACUUGUGAAUUUUUUAUUGUGAUUGUGGUGUAAAACAUUUUUUUAAAUAGUAUUUUAUUUGAAAAUUUAUUAAAAUA